RNAcentral lists this ribosomal RNA (460 nucleotides) under uncultured bacterium. Its description in RNAcentral is "partial 16S ribosomal RNA". It matches the Rfam family "Bacterial small subunit ribosomal RNA", at positions 338 to 795 of the family's 1533-position model. The record is from RNAcentral.
CCUACGGGCUGCAGCAGUGAGGAAUAUUGGUCAAUGGGCGCGAGCCUGAACCAGCCAAGUAGCGUGAAGGAUGACUGCCCUACGGGUUGUAAACAUCUUUUAUAAAGGAAUAAAGUGAGGCACGUGUGCCUUUUUGAAUGUACUUUAUGAAUAAGGAACGGCUAACUCCGUUCCAGGAGCCGCGGUAAUACGGAGGAUCCGAGCGUUAUCCGGAUUGAUUGGGUUUAAAGGGAGCGGAGAUGGGUUGUUAAGUCAGUUGUGAAAGUUUGCGGCUCAACCGUAAAAUUGCAAUUGAUACUGGCAGGCUUGAGGACAGUUGAGGUAGGUGGAAUUCGUGGUGUAGCGGUGAAAUGCUUAGAGAUCACGAAGAACUCCGAUUGCGAAGGCAGCUUACUAAACUGCCACUGACAUUGAUGCUCGAAAGUGUGGGGAUCAAACAGGAUUAGAUACCCGAGUAGUC